AAUUUAUGAAGGAAUAAUUGGUGGAUUCACGAACACUUAGAGACUAAUUUUUCUGUAUGGAAAACAAGACAAAGUACAAGCUAAAUAGAUGAUUUUUUAGAGGUUUUCCUACUAUAUAUAAGAUGCAGAGGUGAUGUAGCAAGGUUAUCAUCGAAUGGAUCAAUUGAUGCCAGAAGAAAAAAUUGUAUAAUAUAUAUCAUCUGACCCUUUAUUAUUGCAUAAAUAACAACUAGAAAUGAUGAUAAUUAAUUAUUAAUUGUUAUUAAGAGCAAAAACAUGUUAUAAACAAGUGUAGAAUGCGUAUCUUUAUACAAACUGGAUAAUGAAUAGUGGCAAAUGAAGAUGAAAAUUAUAAUACAGAUAAUAAUUAGCGAACAAUGGAAGCUUAAUACGAGAUAAAUAUUCAUAUCGAGUCGAAGUGGUUUACAAGAAACAAGAGAGUUCUCUACCAAUGUACAUCUACUACUCAAAAGAUAAGCUCUCACAUGAUGAGACUUAUUGACUACAAAAUAUAAUUUAAUACACCGUCAAAUUUGUUUAUG
Long non-coding RNA from Centruroides sculpturatus (bark scorpion), 542 nucleotides. RefSeq lists it as uncharacterized. The transcript is spliced from 3 exons. The record is from RefSeq and is a predicted model, not a curated record. Lineage: Eukaryota; Metazoa; Arthropoda; Arachnida; Scorpiones; Buthidae.